GCGUAACGCGUAUGCAAUCUACCUUUUACAGAGGGAUAGCCCAGAGAAAUUUGGAUUAAUACCUCAUAGUAUAUAGCCCUGGCAUCAGGAUUAUAUUAAAGUCACAACGGUAAAAGAUGAGCAUGCGUCCCAUUAGCUAGUUGGUAAGGUAACGGCUUACCAAGGCUACGAUGGGUAGGGGUCCUGAGAGGGAGAUCCCCCACACUGGUACUGAGACACGGACCAGACUCCUACGGGAGGCAGCAGUGAGGAAUAUUGGACAAUGGGCGCAAGCCUGAUCCAGCCAUGCCGCGUGCAGGAUGACGGUCCUAUGGAUUGUAAACUGCUUUUAUACGAGAAGAAACACUCCAACGUGUUGGAGCUUGACGGUAUCGUAAGAAUAAGGAUCGGCUAACUCCGUGCCAGCAGCCGCGGUAAUACGGAGGAUCCAAGCGUUAUCCGGAAUCAUUGGGUUUAAAGGGUCCGUAGGCGGUUUAAUAAGUCAGUGGUGAAAGCCCAUCGCUC
RNAcentral lists this ribosomal RNA (504 nucleotides) under Flavobacterium sp. FlavoEI_AT7r3AD5_E01_05. RNAcentral describes it as "bacterial SSU rRNA". It matches the Rfam family "Bacterial small subunit ribosomal RNA", at positions 108 to 610 of the family's 1533-position model. The record is from RNAcentral. Lineage: Bacteria; Pseudomonadati; Bacteroidota; Flavobacteriia; Flavobacteriales; Flavobacteriaceae.